RNAcentral lists this non-coding RNA (28 nucleotides) under Rattus norvegicus (Norway rat). The record is from RNAcentral. Lineage: Eukaryota; Metazoa; Chordata; Mammalia; Rodentia; Muridae.
GACGCUGUGAAGUCAGGUGGAUGCCCCA